ACGGGAGGCAGCAGUGGGGAAUAUUGCACAAUGGGGGAAACCCUGAUGCAGCAACGCCGCGUGAGUGAAGAAGUAUUUCGGUAUGUAAAGCUCUAUCAGCAGGGAAGAAAAUGACGGUACCUGACUAAGAAGCCCCGGCUAACUACGUGCCAGCAGCCGCGGUAAUACGUAGGGGGCAAGCGUUAUCCGGAUUUACUGGGUGUAAAGGGAGCGUAGACGGCGAAGCAAGUCUGAAGUGAAAGCCCACGGCUCAACCGUGGAACUGCUUUGGAAACUGUUUUGCUAGAGUGCAGGAGGGGCAGGCGGAAUUCCUAGUGUAGCGGUGAAAUGCGUAGAUAUUAGGAGGAACACCGGUGGCGAAGGCGGCCUGCUGGACUGUAACUGACGUUGAGGCUCGAAAGCGUGGGGAGCAAACAGGAUUAGAUACCCUGGUA
RNAcentral lists this ribosomal RNA (434 nucleotides) under uncultured Clostridium sp. Its description in RNAcentral is "partial 16S ribosomal RNA". It matches the Rfam family "Bacterial small subunit ribosomal RNA", at positions 341 to 792 of the family's 1533-position model. RNAcentral also lists the same sequence under 1 other name. The record is from RNAcentral. Lineage: Bacteria; Bacillati; Bacillota; Clostridia; Eubacteriales; Clostridiaceae.